AUGGCGCUGGCGUUCGACGAUUUCGGACGGCCCUUCAUCAUCCUGAGGGAGCAGGAGAGCAAGUCCCGCCUGCGGGGGCUCGACGCGCACAAGGCCAACGUCGCCGCCGGCAAGGCCGUCGCGCGCAGCCUCCGCACCUCCCUCGGCCCCAAGGGCAUGGACAAGAUUCUCCAGUCCCCCGACGGCGACGUCACCAUCACAAAUGACGGAGCGACGAUCCUGGAGCAAAUGGAUGUUGACAACCAGAUUGCAAAGCUUAUGGUGGAGCUUUCCCGUAGUCAAGACUAUGAAAUCGGGGAUGGUACUACCGGGGUGGUGGUCCUGGCAGGGUCGCUCCUGGAACAAGCUGAGAAACUGCUAGAGCGUGGUAUUCAACCGAUAAGAAUUGCCGAAGGAUAUGAAAUGGCUUCCAAGAUAGCUUUUGAUCACCUCGAACAUAUCUCCACUAGGUUUGAGUUCACUGCUGCAAAUAUAGAGCCCUUGGUGCAGACCUGCAUGACAACUCUGUCCUCAAAGAUUGUUAACCGUUGUAAGCGGAUGCUUGCUGAGAUUGCUGUCAGGGCAGUCCUUGCUGUUGCUGAUUUGGAAAGGAAGGAUGUAAACUUGGACUUGAUUAAAGUAGAUGGUAAAGUUGGUGGGAAGCUAGAGGACACUGAGCUAAUAUACGGAAUCGCUGUUGACAAAGAUAUGAGCCACCCACAAAUGCCAAAGAGAAUCGAGGAUGCUAAUAUUGCCAUCCUUACCUGCCCAUUUGAGCCCCCAAAGCCCAAUACAAAGCAUAAGGUUGACAUUGACACUGUAGAAAAAUUCCAGACGAUGCGUGGACAAGAGCAAAAAUACUUUGAUGAAAUGGUUCAGAAAUGCAAGGAUGUUGGUGCAACCUUAGUUAUCUGUCAGUGGGGUUUUGAUGAUGAAGCCAAUCAUUUGCUUAUGCAAAGAAAUCUGCCCGCUGUCAGAUGGGUUGGUGGUGUUGAAUUGGAAUUGAUUGCCAUAGCUACAGGGGGACGUAUUGUUCCAAGAUUCCAAGAGUUGACUCCUGAUAAGCUUGGGCAGGCUGGCUUGGUUAGAGAGAAGUCAUUUGGAACAACAAAGGAUCGAAUGCUUUGCAUUGAGAGAUGUGCAAAUUCCAGAGCUGUAACUAUCUUCAUCCGUGGCGGCAACAAAAUGAUGAUUGAGGAGGCCAAGUGA
This 1188-nucleotide ribosomal RNA is filed under the name Triticum aestivum (bread wheat). RNAcentral describes it as "partial small subunit ribosomal RNA". Lineage: Eukaryota; Viridiplantae; Streptophyta; Magnoliopsida; Poales; Poaceae. The record is from RNAcentral.